Molecule: ribosomal RNA, 253 nt
Filed under: uncultured bacterium
Lineage: Bacteria
Description: partial 16S ribosomal RNA
Rfam family: Bacterial small subunit ribosomal RNA
Source: RNAcentral
UACAGAGGUCCCAAGCGUUGUUCGGAUUCAUUGGGCGUAAAGGGUGCGUAGGCGGCGCGGUAAGUCGGGUGUGAAAUCUCGGAGCUUAACUCCGAAACUGCAUUCGAUACUGCCGUGCUUGAGGACUAGAGAGGAGACUGGAAUUUACGGUGUAGCGGUGAAAUGCGUAGAUAUCGUAAGGAAGACCAGUGGCGAAGGCGGGUCUCUGGACAGUUCCUGACGCUGAGGCACGAAGGCCAGGGGAGCAAACGGG